RNAcentral lists this ribosomal RNA (253 nucleotides) under uncultured bacterium. RNAcentral describes it as "partial 16S ribosomal RNA". It matches the Rfam family "Bacterial small subunit ribosomal RNA", at positions 524 to 776 of the family's 1533-position model. The record is from RNAcentral.
UACAGAGGGGGCAAGCGUUGUUCGGAAUUACUGGGCGUAAAGGGCGCGUAGGCGGCCUGCUAAGUCGAACGUGAAAUCCCCGGGCUCAACCCGGGAACUGCGUCCGAUACUGACAGGCUUGAAUCCGGGAGAGGGAUGCGGAAUUCCAGGUGUAGCGGUGAAAUGCGUAGAUAUCUGGAGGAACACCGGUGGCGAAGGCGGCAUCCUGGACCGGCAUUGACGCUAAAGCGCGAAAGCCAGGGGAGCAAACAGG